ACUCCUGCACUAAAUGGGGUUGGAUGCAAAUACCCCAGGAUUGUGAAUGACUUGUCUGGGUUGGAAGGUUUCCGACGCUUAAAAUUGGAUUUAUGUGGAAAUUGCAUCAAGUGUCAUGUAGGAGGAGUUCUUUGAAACCAAACAAGUUACGAAUUCUCCCUUAUAAAAAAGGAAAUUGAGACCCGACAACUCACUGGAUCUCAUCAUAAGAGGUUUGCAAUGCACAGCAGGUCCUGGCACAGACAGAUGUGUUGUCACGCGUAGGAGUCCAGAACCUUUCUCCAGCUUCUAUUAGCAGCCCCACUCCUCUCCCUCCCCCCACGCCUCCUCAGAGCAUCUUUAAUAAGACACAUGCUCCGGGGCUCGGGCUCUCAUUCACACCAAACGCUCCUUGGCGAUCCUCCAACAGGCUGCCUGCUCCACUUCUAGCCCCGCCGAGUCUUCAUGGGUUGAACCGACAGGAGUGCCACACUCUCCUCUCCUCCUUUUUCCUCCUCUCCUCUCAUACACCACGCAUCGCUCCUCCAUUACAUCGUCAACCGACCCCCCCCACCCCCCAC
Salmo salar (Atlantic salmon) is the source of this 560-nucleotide long non-coding RNA. RefSeq lists it as uncharacterized. NCBI's taxonomy places the organism in Eukaryota, Metazoa, Chordata, Actinopteri, Salmoniformes, Salmonidae. The record is from RefSeq and is a predicted model, not a curated record.